UACGGGGGAGCAAGCGUUGUUCGGAUUUACUGGGCGUAAAGGGCGCGCAGGCGGCUACGCACGUCCGUUGUGAAUCGCUCGGCUCAACUGGGCGGGGUCAGCGGAUACGGCGUAGCUGGAGCAAGCUAGGGGGCAAUGGGAAUUCCCGGUGUAGUGGUGGAAUGCGUAGAUAUCGGGAGGAACACCAGUGGCGGAAGGCGGCUCGACUGGCCCGGUAGUGACGCUGAGGCGCGAAAGCGUGGGAGCAACA
RNAcentral lists this ribosomal RNA (250 nucleotides) under uncultured bacterium. RNAcentral's name for it is "partial 16S ribosomal RNA". It matches the Rfam family "Bacterial small subunit ribosomal RNA", at positions 524 to 773 of the family's 1533-position model. The record is from RNAcentral.